Molecule: long non-coding RNA, 1301 nt
Organism: Rhopalosiphum padi (bird cherry-oat aphid)
Lineage: Eukaryota; Metazoa; Arthropoda; Insecta; Hemiptera; Aphididae
Exons: 2
Source: RefSeq, a predicted model, not a curated record
AAUACUGUGUUAUAUUAUUGCACAUUACAAAAACAGCAACUUCUGUAUAAACUGUUACGACGAGCAGCAGCCGGACAACCGCGCGUGUCGUUGUUGGCAAGUUGCGACGAUAAGUUCGUUUUCGUAUUUUCGUAUUUAGUUUAAUCGUUGUUGUUCGCAGUUAUCAUAUUUUUAUCUAUACCUACUCGUAUACGUUGAGUAAGAAAAUUGUGGUAUUGGAAAUGUGGCUGUACCAUCGUAUCCUAAAUAUCUGUUGGACAGACGUAUGCGUACUACAAUGCGAAUGCAAAAGGAAAAAAAAUUACUAAAGACUAUAACAACACGGAAAUUAGAAUACCUGAGUCACAUAAUGAAAAAUAACGAUAGAUAUGGAUUGCUGCGACUUAUACUUCAAGGAAAAAUUGAAGGCAAGAGAAGUCCUGGUAGACGAAAGAUAUCGUGGCUAAAAAAUCUCUGGGACUGGUUUAGUACAACAUCAAUUGAACUAUUUCGUUCAUCGUUAGAAAGAGAAGCAAUAUUCAAUAUGAUUUCCAACAUCCGAAACGGAUAGAAACUUCAAGAAGAAGAAGAAGAAGACUCGUAUACAGUCAUUUUGCAUCAUAAUUAUACGUACACUAUUAAGUAAUAUUAGUACUUAGUACUAGACGAGUAGACGACGACGGCGAUGAUGUCGAAUCGUAACGACGGUGACGGUGACUUAGUUUGCGGGGUGAGUUUAUAAAGGAGUUAGAAACGCGGAAAUUCGACUUUCCAGGGUUUGGCUGCGCGUGUGACUCCAACGGACGCAGCCAACGAGUUGCCUGCAGAAGGAUUCGCGGACUGCGGAGAGUAUCAGGACUGCGGCGCGCGUUGUGGCGCAGUCCGCUGAUUCUCUUUUUUCACCUACUCUCACCGCGGUUACGGUCGCCGCCUCGCCGGUUCAGUAACUACGACUUAUAUAAGCUCUUCCCGUGUUCUGGUCGCCGUCGCUUGUCGCCAGAUUCGUCAUCUUCAAUUUUGUCGCGCACUAGCUCCAAAAUCGCCGUCAACCGUCGCUCCCGCACGGUCGAGCCAACCGAGCCGAGCCUUUAGUAAUGGUCGACGCAUCGUGCUCACUAGUAAACGAGCGGGUGACACUAUCGUCGUUCGCUUGCAGGACCCAGUCGCGAGAAUGUUGUAGAAGUGACCAGUGGCCAUUAACUAUAGCAAUAUCUCGCACCGAAAACGUCAUCUCGUAUCCUCCUCCCCAUUCCUCGUUUAUUGUGUCGUCCUGACCUUUGUUUUUUUUUAUUGGUUUUUUGUUAUUUUUUCUUAAAGCUAUA